RNAcentral lists this ribosomal RNA (1656 nucleotides) under Fusobacterium necrophorum. Its description in RNAcentral is "partial 23S ribosomal RNA". It matches the Rfam family "Bacterial large subunit ribosomal RNA", at positions 1252 to 2925 of the family's 2925-position model. Lineage: Bacteria; Fusobacteriati; Fusobacteriota; Fusobacteriia; Fusobacteriales; Fusobacteriaceae. The record is from RNAcentral.
GAAGGAGGACUGAAAGGAACUCUGGAGGUAUCAGAAGUGAGAAUGCAGGAAUAAGUAGCGAGAAGGGGAGUGAGAAUCUCCCCCGCUGGAAGACCAAGGUUUUCAGGGUAAAGCUUGUCUUCCCUGAGUAAGCCGGGACCUAAGCCCAGGCUAGAAUGCGUAGGCGAAUGGAAAACAGAUGAAUAUUUCUGUGCCAGUUCUACUUUGUGAAGGAGGGACGCAGAAGGGUAUGCGCGCAGACGAACGGAAGAGUCUGUAGAAGCAUGUAGAGUGACUUGGUAGGCAAAUCCGCCAGGUUAGACUUAAGGUGUGACAUAUACUCGCAAGAGGAAUGCGCAAAUCCCACGCUGCCGAGAAAAGCUUCUAGCGGUAAAGUAGAGACUGCCCGUACUGGAAACCGACACAGGUGGUCAGGAUGAGAAAUCUAAAGCGGACAGGCUAACUCUCGUUAAGGAACUCUGCAAAAUGGCCCCGUAACUUCGGGAGAAGGGGUGCCUUUAGGCGUGAGUAUACAAGCGAUACAAAGCGCUUUGAGGUCGCAGUGAAGAGGCUCAAGCAACUGUUUAACAAAAACACAGGUCUAUGCGAAGCUGUAAGGCGAAGUAUAUGGGCUGACACCUGCCCAGUGCCGGAAGGUUAAGAGGAGGAGUGAGAGCUCCGAAUUGAAGCCCCGGUGAACGGCGGCCGUAACUAUAACGGUCCUAAGGUAGCGAAAUUCCUUGUCGGGUAAGUUCCGACCUGCACGAAUGGUGUAAUGAUUUGAGCGCUGUCUUGACGGGAGGCCUGGUGAAAUUGUAUUACCGGUGAAGAUACCGGUUACCUACAGUAGGACGGAAAGACCCCAUGGAGCUUUACUGUAGCUUGGUAUUGGGUUUUGGCAUGGCAUGUAUAGGAUAGUUGGGAGACUGGGAAGGAAUGGCGCUAGCUGUACCGGAGUCAUCGGUGGAAUACCAACCAUUCCCUGCUGAAAUUCUAAUCUGUACUUUGGAGGUACGGAGACAGUGCUAGGUGGGCAGUUUGACUGGGGCGGUCGCCUCCGAAAGAGUAACGGAGGCGUUCAAAGGUUCUCUCAGGUUGGAUGGAAAUCAACCGCAGAGUGCAAUGGCAAAAGAGAGCUUGACUGCAAGACUGACGGGUCGAGCAGAUGCGAAAGCAGGACAUAGUGAUCCGGCGAUUCCGUAUGGAAGGGUCGUCGCUCAACGGAUAAAAGCUACCCUGGGGAUAACAGGCUGAUCCUACCCGAGAGUCCAUAUCGACGGUAGGGUUUGGCACCUCGAUGUCGGCUCAUCGCAUCCUGGGGCUGGAGAAGGUCCCAAGGGUUGGGCUGUUCGCCCAUUAAAGCGGUACGUGAGCUGGGUUCAGAACGUCGUGAGACAGUUCGGUCCCUAUCCACUGUAGGCGCAAGAAUAUUGAGAAGAUCUGUCCUUAGUACGAGAGGACCGGGAUGGACAAACCUCUGAUGUACCAGUUGUCACGCCAGUGGCACAGCUGGGUAGUCACGUUUGGCAUAGAUAACCGCUGAAAGCAUCUAAGCGGGAAACUAGCUUCAAGAUAAGUAUUCUAAGAGGAAGCUUCGAGAACAGGAGCUGGAUAGGUUGGGGGUGUACGCGCAGUAAUGUGUUUAGCUGACCAAUACUAAUCGAACGAAAUUUUAAU